GGGACUUACUCUUACGCAGGGUGCAAUUUUUUGUUUCAAACAAAUUAAAAGCAAAUCUUGUUUCCAUUGGAAGCAUUUACUGUUUGUUAUAUCAUCAUAUCAUUUGCAUUACACCAUUACAGUGGAAGGGAUUUUAGAGAUGGUUAUGCAAUGAGUAUUCCUAGAAUGGGGAUUUGGAAUUGUUGUUACUGGAACUAGAUUUUUAAACCUGUUUUGGUGGUACAAUCAGAGAUAUAAUUGGCGGCAAUGAUGGUAGCCAAGGAGAUGGAAGGUCUAUAGGACAAGAAAAUUCAGGUGGUGAUUUGUUAUGGGUAUGUUUUAGUUCAUUGAUGGGGGAUGAGUCAGAAUUAUUUUGUUGUUCUGUGUCAUUGAUGGAAUGAAUUGAACCCAACUUAACUCACACCCAAAUUGGCAUCCACUAUCAAUUUCUAGCAUUAUAUAAAUUAGUGGAGUUG
RNAcentral lists this unclassified non-coding RNA (455 nucleotides) under Hevea brasiliensis (rubber tree). The record is from RNAcentral. Lineage: Eukaryota; Viridiplantae; Streptophyta; Magnoliopsida; Malpighiales; Euphorbiaceae.